CCCAUUUCCCCAUUAUUUCCUCUCUCUUCUUUCCCUCUCAUCACUUUCUUCUCUCUCCCCCCAAGCCGCUGCCGCCGCCCCACCGCCGCCGGCCGGAAAUCGCCGCCGCCGGCGUACCACCUCCAAACACCUCCAAAUUCACACCAUGUAAUCUCCACAACUUCCUCUUUCCAUAUCUCCAAACCAAAUCCUUCAAAAAUCCCUCAAACUCUUUGAAUCUUUGAUCUAGGAAACUUUUCCGUCACUUUUUUGCCCAAAUUAUUGAAGCUCCAACCACUACCACCCCACAAUACCUACAUCAAUGGAUAGAGCUCCUCAAGACCUAGCUAUUGAUGCCAAUUUCACCCUGAAAAUCCGGCGACCAAAAUCCGGCCAAAUUCCGGCGACCUCCCCGAACACCCUCUUUUGGCAUACCACCAUUUUUUCGGCCACUUGAAUUGUAAAAUGGUAAAAUCCUAUUCUUUUUCAUGGCUGAUUUUUUAUUUUUAUUUUUCAGAUUUUAUUUUUUAUUAUUAAUUAUUUUAGCAUUAGUUUUUGAAGUUUUGGAAUGUUAAAUUUUCUGUUUGCACUUGUUGAAGUAGUAAAAUAGCUUUGUGUUGAUUAAAGUGAGGUAGUGAGGAAAUGCUUGAGAGUAUAUGGUAAAAUCGUAAUCCUGCCCCGUUAUUAAUUUUUUGAAUUUUUAGUUAAAGUUAGUUUCUAUCUUGUUUCUUCAUUUAAUCCAUUUUUGAUUAUGUUUGUCUAGUUGGUUUUAUUAAAUCGCUCCAGCGAUAGCGUGCGUUUUGUUUGGCUUUAAUAGUUAAUUUUUGUUUGCUUACGAUUGGUUCAUAACACAUGUGUGAAGUUUAAUUACAUGUUUUAAUACUUGGUAUAGUUUGAAUCAACAGGGUGAUAUUGAUGUUGUUAAAAUCUGAAGUUUAUGUUAUUUUAUCCCAAGAUAGGGUGCUAGUAGCCUACUUUUACUAGUUAGGGUGGCUGAAAUGAUAUUUUUUUUUCUCUUUGUUUCUGACAUAGUAGAUUUUCUUUGACCUUUGGACAGAUUUUGAACAGUGUUUAGCACACAAUGUCAGUUUUUGUCGGACAGACAUUUGGUGAACCAAAAUUUGUCCAAAUUUGCUUAUUUAAGGGCUGCCCUUUCCUCACUUUGGGGGACUCCAUCACACUUUCAGGGGGCAUUUUUUAUAAUUGCUUUGUCACAAAAACAAAAAAAAAAUUCAGCAGUUGAACACAUGAAAAUUAAGCUGAAAUGAUGAGCUUUGGGAGUGAAUCUUAGAGUGCAAACUUUUAAAAAAUUAUAAGUCCUCUUUAGAGUUCGNN
This 1314-nucleotide long non-coding RNA is filed under the name Nicotiana tabacum (common tobacco). RNAcentral's name for it is "long non-coding RNA (NTAB_LNC001935)". The record is from RNAcentral. Lineage: Eukaryota; Viridiplantae; Streptophyta; Magnoliopsida; Solanales; Solanaceae.